GCCAAUAGAUAGAAAAACAAGGGGCUCAUCCAUCCCCUCCACAUCAAAUCCAGUUUUUUCUCCACGUCUCCUGCUUAACUUGGGGACCCAAACUGACAUGACAUAUUAUAUGGACAUAACUGGCUCCUGACAUUAUCUUCUUUACUUCAAAGGAGCUGGACAGGAAGUGGGUAUGCAUUAAUUUGAUCAGAGGAUCAGUGCUGGGGGCGGGGAGAGGAGGGUGUUUAACCCCUUCUUUCCUGGCCAUUUCCCUGCUGUAGAUCCCACCUGCCCAACAUGCUGCCAUCGGCUGAUAUCUUGUAUAGCACCUCGGUGGUAUUUUUUUAUAUAAAAAAAAAAAAUGGAAAGCCAAAAUCAAUUAAUUAAAGUGCAUAGAAGGUCUGGGGUACAUGCAUCAGUAGAACCACUAAUCAUAGAAUCAUAGAGUUGGAAGAGACCACAAGGGCCAUCGAGUCCAACCCCCUGCCAAGCAGGAAACACCAUCAGAGCACUCCUGACAUAUGGUUGUCAAGCCUCUGCUUAAAGACCUCCAAAGAAGGAGACUCCACCACACUCCUUGGCAGCAAAUUCCACUGUCGAACAGCUCUUACUGUCAGGAAGUUCUUCCUAAUGUUUAGGUGGAAUCUUCUUUCUUGUAGUUUGGAUCCAUUGCUCCGUGUCCGCUUCUCUGGAGCAGCAGAAAACAACCUUUCUCCCUCCUCUAUGUGACAUCCUUUUAUAUAUUUGAACAUGGCUAUCAUAUCACCCCUUAACCUCCUCUUCUCCAGGCUAAACAUGCCCAGCUCCCUUAGCCGUUCUUCAUAAGGCAUCAUUUCCAGGCCUUUGACCAUUUUGGUUGCCCUCCUCUGGACACGUUCCAGAGGAAUAUAAUAACUCCAUUUGCAUCAGAUAGACCAAAUCCAUACCCAACCUCUGCAUGUUUAACACAUGAUCUGAAGGGGAAGUCAUAAGUGUGUUGGCCUGAUUGUGAUUAAUAACCUCCUUGUUAAAGUGCCAAAUAUCUGAAGCAUAUCUGGCAGGAUUUUGCUGAAACCGUGACUAUUCACAACUUUAGACUGACCAUAUUGCAUAGCUCAUACAUAAAGGGCACCCAGAUAGGCUCUGCAGAGAAUCCUGUUGGUGAGAUACAGGACAACAUUUCCUGCAUCUCAAUGCUUCUGAUUUUAGACUUGUGGACACAUUGCACUAAACACAGGUACACACUCCCUCGACAUGGGUAUAAGUUGUGUGACAGGUGAUGCACCUGUUGCUUUGUACGGUUCAACAGUUCUGUGCACAGGUACACAGACUGUGUAAUUGCUGAAUGUUACAUGUGAACAUAGAAUCAUAGAAUCAUAGAAUCAUAGAGUUGGAAGAGACCACAAGGGCCAUCGAGUCCAACCCCCUGCCAAGCAGGAAACACCAUCAGAGCACUCCUGACAUAUGGUUGUCAAGCCUCUGCUUAAAGACCUCCAAAGAAGGAGACUCCACCACACUCCUUGGCAGCAAAUUCCACUGUCGAACAGCUCUUACUGUCAGGAAGUUCUUCCUAAUGUUUAGGUGGAAUCUUCUUUCUUGUAGUUUGGAUCCAUUGCUCCGUGUCCGCUUCUCUGGAGCAGCAGAAAACAACCUUUCUCCCUCCUCUAUGUGACAUCCUUUUAUAUAUUUGAACAUGGCUAUCAUAUCACCCCUUAACCUUCUCUUCUCCAGGCUAAACAUGCCCAUCUCCCUUAGCCGUUCCUCAUAAGGCAUUGUUUCCAGGCCUUUGACCAUUUUAGUUGCCCUCCUCUGGACACGUUCCAGUUUGUCAAUGUCCUUCUUGAACUGUGGUGCCCAGAACUGGACACAGUACUCCAGGUGAGGUCUGACCAGAGCAGAAUACAGUGGCACUAUUACUUCCCUUGAUCUAGAUGCUAUACUCCUAUUGAUGCAGCCCAGAAUUGCAUUGGCUUUUUAGCUGCCGCGUCACACUGUUGGCUCAUGUCAAGUUUGUGGUCAACCAAGACUCCUAGAUCCUUUUCACAUGUACUGCUCUCAAGCCAGGUGUCACCCAUCUUGUAUUUGUGCCUCUCAUUUUUUUGCCCAAGUGCAAUACUUUACAUUUCUCCCUGUUAAAAUUCAUCUUGUUUGUUUUGGCCCAGUUCUCUAAUCUGUCAAGGUCGUUUUGAAGUGUGAUCCUGUCCUCUGGGGUGUUAGCCACCCCUCCCAAUUUGGUGUCAUCUGCAAAUUUGAUCAGGAUGCCCUUGAGUCCAUCAUCCAAGUCGUUGAUAAAGAUGUUGAAUAAGACCGGGCCCAAGACAGAACCCUGUGGCACCCCACUAGUCACUCUUCUCCAGGAUGAAGAGGAACCAUUGAUGAGCACCCUUUGGGUUCGGUCAGUCAGCCAGUUACAAAUCCACUGAGUGGUAGCAUAGUCAAGACCACAUUUUACCAGCUUCUUUACAAGAAUAUCAUGAGGCACCUUGUCAAAUGCCUUGCUGAAAUCAAGGUAGGCUACAUCCACUGCGUUCCCUUCAUCUACCAGGCUUGUAAUUCUGUCAAAAAACGAGAUCAGGUUAGUCUGACAUGACUUAUUUUUCAGAAAUCCAUGCUGACUAUUGGUGAUCACAGCAUUCCUUUCUAGGUGCUCACAGACUGUUUGCUUAAUGAUCUGCUCCAGAAUCUUCCCUGGUAUUGAUGUCAGACUGACUGGGCGGUAAUUAUUUGGGUCCUCUCUUUUCCCCUUUUUGAAAAUAGGGACAACAUUUGCCCUCCUCCAGUCUGCCGGGACUUCGCCUGUUCUCCAGGAAUUCUCAAAGAUGACUGCCAGUGGUUCUGAGAUCACAUCUGCCAGUUCUUUUAAUACUCUUGGAUGCAGUUCAUCUGGCCCUGGAGACUUGAAUACAUCUAAACUAGCCAAGUAUUCUUGUACUAUCUCCUUAGUUAUUCUGGGCUGUGUUUCCUUUGCUGAAUCAUUUGCUCCAAAUUCUUCAGGUCGGGCAUUGUUUUCUUUAUCGGAGAAGACUGAGGCAAAGAAGGCAUUGAGGAGUUCAGCUCUUUCUGUGUCCCCUGUUUGCAUUUCACCAUCUUCUCCUCUGAGUGACCCCACUGUUUCUUUGUUCUUCCUUUUGCUACGGACAUACCCAUAAAAGCCUUUUUUGUUGCUUUUAACCUCUCUAGCAAGCCUGAGUUCAUUCUGUGCUUUAGCUUUUCUGACUUUGUGUCUACACGUGCUGGCUAUUUGUUUGAAUUCCUCUUUGGUGGUUUCCCCCCUUUUCCAUUUUUGUACACAUCCUUUUUUAAUCUUAACUCAGUUAAAAGUUCUUUAGAUAGCCACCCUGGCUUCUUUAGGCACCUUCCAUGUUUCUGUCUCAUUGGUAUUGCCUGACGUUGUGCUUUUAGUAUCUCCCUCUUAACAAACUCCCAGCCAUCAUGAACUCCCUUUCCUUUUAGUAUUACUGUCCAUGGGAUCUCACCCAGCACUUCCCUAAGUUUUAUGAAGUCGGCUUUCUUAAAGUCAAGAAAUUGAGUCCUAGUAUGCUUGGCUGCUCCUUCCCGCUGUAUAGUAAACUUCAGAAGAGCAUGAUCACUCGCGCCUAAUGAUCCUUCCACUUCUACCCCACUAACCAGGUCAUCAACAUUGGUUAGGACCAGAUCUAAAAUGGCUGUUCCUCUUGUUGCUUCUCCCACUUUCUGGACAAUGAAGUUGUCUGCAAGGCCAGUGAGGAAUCUGUUUGACCUUAUGCUCUUGGCUGAGUUUGACAUCCAACAAAUAUCCGGGUAAUUGAAGUCCCCCAUUACUACUAUCUCCCUUCCUUUUGCAUGCUUGGCCAUCUGUUCCAGGAAGGCAUCAUCUAUGUCCUCCGUUUGGCUUGGGGAUCUAUAGUAAACUCCCACAAUGAGGUCACUGUUAUUCUUCUCUCCCUUAAUUUUGACCCAAAUGCUCUCACUUUGGCUUUGAGGUUCUAAAUCUUGGAUCUCUUCACAGGUAUACACAUCCCUGACAUAUAACACCACUCCUCCUCCUUUCUUGUCUGGUCUGUUUCUCUGAAAUAGAUUGUAUCCCCCCAUUAUUACAUUCCAAUCGUGGGACUUAUCCCACCAGGUUUCAGUGAUGCCUAUUAUGUCAUAUUUAGUUUGCUGUACCAAGAGUUCAAGCUCAUCUUGUUUAUUUCCCAUGCUUUGCGCAUUAGCGUACAGACAUUGAAGUCCAUUAAUCAUUCCCCCGUGACUCUUAUUUAAGGAUUUUUUCCUCCCACCACUAGGUCUGUGUGCUGUUUGCUCCAUUUGGUCUAUGACAUUUGGAUGAUCAUCUUCAUCAAUUGAUAGACUCCUACCUUCAGGAGCACUGUCUCCCUCCCCACAUUAGUCAGUUUAAAGCCCUCCUGAUGAGGUUUCUGAGAUUUUUGGCAAAAACAUUUCUCCCAACCGUUGUGAGGUGCAGCCCAUCGCUUGCCAGAAGUCCAUCUUCAAGAAACUGCAGCCUGUGAUCUAAGAAUCCAAACCGUUCCUGUUUACACCAUUUGCGAAGCCAGCUGUUCACUUCCACUAUUUUCCCCUCUCUCCCUGGGCCACGUUGUUCAACUGGGAGGACAGAUGAGAUCACAAUUUGUGCAUUUAAUUGCUUCAAUUUCCUGCCCAGAGCCUCGUAGUCUCUUUUGAUCUUCUGGAGGCUAUUGCUUGCAGUGUCAUUGGUUCCCACAUGAACCAAGAGGAAGGGGUAUUUGUCAGUGGGUUUUAUGAUUCCUUGCAGUCGUUCAGUUACAUCUUGGAUCUUAGCCCCGGGGAGACAGCACACUUCCCGAGACAUCUUGUCAGGCCCACAGAUCACUGCUUCUGAUAGGUGUCCAAGUAAAGUCGUACCUUGGUUCUCAAACGGAAUCCAUUCCAGAAGUCCGUUCGACUUCCGAAAAUGUUCGAGAACCAAGGCGCAGCUUCUGAUUGGCUGCAGGAGAUUCCUGAACUCAAUUGGAAGCUGCAAAAGCAGUGUCGGAUAUUUGGGUUCCAAAGAACGUCCGCAAACCAGAACACUCACUUCCGGGUUUGUGGCAUUCGGGAGCCAAAACAUAUGAGUACCAAGACAUUUGACAACCAAGGUAUGGCUGUAUACUGCUCUACAAUUUGUGUAGACAGUUACAAUUGUACACACUUUGACUGCAACACCCCUAAGCCAUCUAAUCAUUUUUUCUUCAAAUCAGUGAAACUGGCUACCAUCUCUUCUUGUGGUUGGUAGUUCCACAGGCCAGCAGCUUCUAUAUGCACUUGCAUUCAUGCGCAUGUUUUAAAUGGGGCCGUUGCUAAUCCAACCCAUUUUUUGUGAUAUUGUUGUUCAAAAAAUUGUGGCUACCGGGGCAUCAGGCAUAGAGGAAAUAUCGCCCCACCCCCAUGCCACUAUAGUGUUGGAUUUUUACGCUCUUAGGGCGAAAUUUUGUCAAAUAAAUAAAUAAAUGCUCUCCCUUCCAGUGGGAUGGCUUUGUAACCUGAUGGAUUUCAAGUGGAAGAACCUGAAGUUGAAAGAGCGUGAGUUUUUUUUUUUCCUUCAAAAAAAGGGGCUGCUUUUGAACAGCUAACAAGUUUAAGGGAACAAUUUACGUGAUUACCUGGAGUUACAGUUAGAUGAAAGAAAGAUGUUUCCCCAUUUAAUAUCUCGACAGGGAUAAUAAGCAGAUCAAAGGUCUGAGCAAAGAAUCAGCAGAUACAGUCUCUUGUUGAUGCCUGCAACAUAAAUGCUAGAAGGGGCAAUCUGUUUUAGUUAUGCUUUUGAGUACACGUUAAAUCUAAUUUUAGUGCACAAUAAAAAUGAAUGGUCCGCUUUCAAAGGCACUGCAUCUGCUGAGUACAAGUUUCCAUGCCAGAUGGUUUUUGUAUUUUGUUUUGUAGUUGUUUUGCAUUCUGCUAAUUCUCACCCUAUAGUGCAACAUGGUGAAGUUGACACACUUAAAAUGACCUUGCAGUGAGGAUUCUCAAUCUCAUGGUGACUAUUUUUUUUUUUUUUGGUAAAAAAAGGAGCAACCUUUCAGACCCCCAUGGUGAACAGUAAUAGCUCUCUUUCCUUAUAUACUUCUUUCUUACAGCCGCAUUGUUGAGUUGAUUCAUUGGUUAGAUGCAUCUAUUUAAAACCUUGUGAUCAGUUAAAAAGGAGCUCGUGGUUAAUCAUGGUACAGUAAAAAUAUCUUUUGAAAUGAGAAAAGAGGAAAGCAGAGAGACACACACACAGAGAGAGAAAUACAUGGGGCCGCCUCUGAAGAUGGUUCAGCUGGUGUAGAAUUCAGUGGCCAGGCUGCUCCCUGGGUUUGAGAAUACAGCACCAAUCCUGGUCCAACUGCACUGGCUGUAACUUAGUUUCCGUAGCCACGUCAGUGUGCUAGUUUUGACCUAUAAAGCCUCAAGGACUGCCUUUCUCCAUAUGAACCAACCCGGAUCCUACAAUCAUCAUCCUAGGUACUUCUUUGUGUGCCUCCUCUCCAAGAGGUCUGGAGCAUUAAGUAUAAUUGGUUUAAUUGACACUGAAAUGGUGAAUGCCUGUGUAAUGGUGAAAAUGUUUAACAUGGGGAGAAUCCAUUGAAGCUAAAUUAAGAGCAAGAAUGGAACUCUGGGCUUUAACUGAGUUGAUAAUUAACUGUUGAAUGUAUUCUGCUACCUGACACGUGAGUGUUUAACCUUAGAUCACAUGGGAGGCUAUUGAAUUGCAAAGCACCAUUCUGAAGGGAGUUGCCUUUAGUUCUUUGUCCCCAGGCUCCAUGGAGUAAGGAUGUAAAUCAAGGUCUCCAGGAAAACAGCUCCAGGCAAAAUGAAUGCUGUAAGGAGGGAGACUUUUGCUUAUACAUCUGUUUGGAGCAUUUCAUAUUUUGUAAGAUGUUGAGUCUAUGUGCUGGACUAGCAUAUGCUUUAUGGAACUGUUUGGAUAUAUCAUUUACUGUUUUUUGUUAUGUUUUGAAGAAGGUUCUGCAAAUAGAGUUUUCAUUAAACUUGUGGGCCUUGACAAUGUUUUAUUUCCAAAAAGGAGUCAGUUUUUAUGAAUCCAAUCAUUUCAAACUAUGCAGUACAGUGGUACCUCAGGUUAAGAACUUAAUUUGUUCUGGAGGUCCGUUCUUAACCUGAAACUGUUCUUAAUCUGAAGUACCACUUUAGCUAAUGGGGCCUCCUGCUACAGCCAUGUGAAUUCUGUUCUCAUCCUGAAGCAAAGUUCUUAACCCGAGGUACUAUUUCUGGGUUAGCAGAGUCUGUAACCUGAAGCACCUGUAACCCGAGGUACCACUGUAUUAAUAUUUGCAAUAUGGAGAGCAGCAAUGCAAGAAUAGGCCUUUUUCUGCAGUGGCUCCUGUUUGUGCAAUGCUCUCCCGAGGAAGUCUCACUUGGUGUCUUGCCUUGGUAUUGUUCUUGUUGCUUUCGACCUGCAAAUGAAACAUAACUGUUUGUUUUCCCCACCCCUGCCACUUGCAUUUUUUUUCCUUUUACAAUGAAAUCAGUGGAAUGGAAGAGUAACUUUUGUGAUUCACACAAUUAUUUACUUAACUCAUGUAAAUCACAUUUCACCACAGUGGACAGAAAGAUGAAUAAUGUGGUUUUGGGUAGAAUAUGAACUGCAGCAGAAGAGAAAUAGUGCUGCGUGAAGCAAACACAUGCUGCAACGGAAAAUGGUGCCUUUCAUAUACCCUAAUCUUUAAUAUCAUCAUAUUUCUAUGGAUUGCUGGGGAUGUUCUUAUAUACAAAAGUAAAUUCUGUGCAAAUCAGCUCUGUGGGAAUGUGGUAUUUCUGUAUGUCUUCAAAGCUCUUUAGAUUCUGAGAGGCGAAGAGACCUUUAUAAACCAUUAACAUCCUUAAAACAUUGUGGGUUUCCUUUCCUUUUAUUUUAUUUUUUUUGGUUUGCACAGAAUUUUCUUGGAACUUUCAGCAGGAGAUGGUGUUUCUGACAUUUAAGCCUGAAACCACUUAAAUAAAUACAAGCUAAAUGAACACAUUUUAUUGCCCCAGUGUAAACAGUAUAUAAUCCCAGAAAAUUUUCCUUGGCUGCUUCGCCUCUCCCCAUAUGCAGCAGCAAAUUUUAUGGCAUAAACAGCCAAGAUAUAUUAGUGUGUCCCAGGAAGCUACCAGUGGUUUACUACAGUUGCCAUAGCAAUGGUAAAACAACUUGGCUGAUGGCGUGGAAAACUAUUUGUACAAAGAGCUAGCUUUGCUUUUGUUCCUUUUGUUCCUUUGGUCUUAUGUUCUGUGUUAACAUGCUCCUUUAAAUUGCUUUAUAAUCAGCUUCUAGGAAUGAUACAUUUUUAGGGGUUGCUGGAUUUGCAAAGGAAAACGUUUUGGUGAUAUGGCAAGUUGCUGUCAUACCUUUGAACAAUGAUUAAUGCUCAAGCUACAUUCUUUUCCCUUGCCUUUCCCAUGAGCAAUUGUAAGUUUAUCAAUAAAAAUAAAACCUUCUUUGGAAUAUACGUCCUUUUACCAUAAUAAUAAUAAUAACAAUUUUUUAUUUAUAUCCCACCCUCCCCAGCCGAAGCCGGGCUCAGAGCGGCUAACAACAGCAAAAUAAUACAGCAUUCUAAAAUCAAUUCAUUAUAAAAUCAGUUCAAAUCAAAUUGAUGGCAACCAUUGGCCUAUAGUUCUGUGAAGAAUUACCAAAGGAGGGGGUCAGGCUGUGCCUUGGCCAAAGGCCUGGUGGAAUAGCUCUGUCUUGAAGGCCCCAUGUCAAGUCCCGCAGGGCCCUAGUCUCUUGUGACAGAACAUUGCACCAGAUCGCAGCCACAGCCAAAAAAGCCCUGGCUCUGGUUGAGGCCAGCCUAACCUCUCUGUGGCCCGGGACCUCCAAGAUGUUUUUGUUUGAAGACCGUAAGGUCCUCCAUGGGACAUACCAGGAGAGGUGGUCCCGUAGGUAUGAGGGUCCUAGGUCGUAUAGGAAAUAUGGAUCAUGACCCAGUGGAUCAUGACCCAGAUUGGAUAUUGGUCUGCUUCUGAAUCCACAGUCCCGCCAAUUCUAGUAUGAGAGUUGCAACACUGUCUCUCUUCUGGUAAAAACUUUAUUCACCAUUUAAGAGUUCACAAAAAGUCCUCUGGGUAUCCCCCAUUCUGAAGCAGGGAUGGAAUGUUUGGGGAUGAGACAUGUACCUUCACAAAAAUGUAAGUCCUGGGGUAUAUUUCUCCACAGAGGCAGCCCAAUGUAUUUUUGCUGCCUGAAGCAGAACAGUAAAUGGUUCCCCCACCAACAUGGCAAAUGGUACCCAAGUCUGGUCAAGUUAUAUUGGCAGCUGAGGCAGAAAAUCCCCCCUCCCACCCUUGGAACUGCCUCCCCAAAAUACAAUGAGUAAACUGAAUAAUUAACCAUUUCCUGACCUUUUAUGACAACUAAAAUCAGAGCUUUCAGAGGCAGAGAGUUGAGAAUAAGAAGAAAGUGGACAGUUGGAAGGAAUUAAAUGUCAAGGGGGAGUCCUCUCCCAACUUUUAAACAUGCUGAAGGGGAUCACAAGAAAAUCCUUAGGUCAGUGGUGGAAUAGAUACUUUGUAUGCAGAAGUCCUAGGAAAAAUAAAUGGUCCCAAUACAAGGCUGCUUUCUAUGUGGAAGACUAGUGGGUGAUACCAUGUUCUCUGUCCCAGACACUGAAAAGGAUGGCACAGCUUAUAAAAUGUCUAUACAGAUCCUUUGCUGUGUAGCAUCCUAACUUUGCUUGUAGUGAUGGUGCUUUUGGACUGCAAAAUACAGGUACAGGUUGGGAGGCAAAGGACCGCUAACUGCAUAAUUGGGACCACUUAAUGUGCUCAUGUAACCUGGGUUUUCACUGGGCCAUUUCCAUGAGUAAUAGCCUAACUAAAUAGUGUGGAAUUAUAGCAGGGUUAAGACACUUUCUUUAUGAUGAAUCUAAGUCAUUUCUAAAACAGAGUGACCCAUUUUACUGAGAUCACUGAGUUGGAAAUGGAAGUUGAUUCUUUUGUGUUAGGGAGUGCUCUGUUUGACUUGAAAAUGAGAAGCAAUUUAAUGUUCUGAGUUCACAUAUUGAGCUCACAGGGUAAAACCAUUUGUAUAUUGUGAGCUAAUUAACUUCAGCACACACACACAUCACUAGAAAAAGCAACCCAGCUCCUGUGGCACAAUGUCAGCGUGAUAUUUGACCACGCAUUCAUACUUUUCUUUUUCUCACCUCCUGCAGAAAUAGCCUCUGCAGGAAACCCUCCAUUACAAUUUGAAGCAUUAAAUCACCACCAUCAUGGGAUUAAAUUCAGAGUGUUAUUACCAGUGUGGUGUUGCAGCUAGUGUUAGAAGAAGAUCUCAGAGAGCUGGAAUCCAAAUCCCUGACGCUCAGUGGACAAGUCAUUAUCGAACUUUAGCUCACAGGAAUGUUGUGGACGUAAGAAAAUGAAACAAAACAGGGGUUGAAAAAGCAUACACUAUUAGGGUUGCCAGACCGCCAGGCCUCACCUAAAGCCUGCUGGUGGCAGAUGAAGGGCUUGCAUCUCCAGGUGGGUGACAGUCCCUUUAAUAAUGGAAAGAAAACAUAUUAAGACUAAGCAUAUAGCUUGUAAGCUUCAGCCCAGUAGGACCUGGCUGAAAAUUAUAGCAUAGACAUUUGGGGUCCAGGGGGUCUACCUUCCACUCCCUUCUCCCAAUUACCCUCCAUCUCCAGGGCCUGCCCUUUUGACAUCUCCAGGGGCCACCCCUAUGUCUCAGGUUUGGGUCCUGACACCUCAAGGAUCCCACACACUGUAUUCUUGUUACCUCAGGCUAAAUACUUUGGAAAUGUGUUUCUCAAAGUAGAAUGUCAUCCUGCCUUGUGGACAUAACUUGGGAAGACAGGCAAACUAAUAUCAGUGUACUUGAAGAAGCAAAGAUCACCAGUGUUGAAGCAAGAAUUCUUCAACAUCAACUUUGUUGGACUGGUCAUGUUGUGCAGAUGCCUGAUGACCGUCUUCCAAAGCAACUACUCUUUUCCCAACUGAAAAUUGGAAAGCGUAAUGCUGGCGGUCAACAAAAGAGGUUUAAAGACUGUUUCAAAGCAUAUUUAAAAAAAUUUAGUAUAAACACUGACAACUGGGAAACACUGGCCUGCGAGCGCUCCAGUUGGAGAACAGCCUUUACCAAAGGUGCCAUGGGCUCUGAAGACACUCAAACUCAGGACACAAGGGAGAAAUGUGCUAAGAGGAAGGCAUGCUUGGCAAAUCCACACCGUGAUCAACUCCCUCCUGGAAACCAAUGUUCCCACUGUGGAAGGACGUGUGGAUCCAGAAUUGGCCUCCACAGUCACUUACAGACUCAUUGUUAAAACCGUGUUUAUAGAAGACAAUCUUACUCGGCUACGAGUGAUCGCCAAAGAAGAAGAAGAUUGCUCUAUCUAGCCUUAGCACCGGCUGCUCCGACAUGUCAGCAGAUCUCAUAGGUUUUAGGCGGAAGAAGUUCCCAGCACCACUCUUUGAGAUCAUUUGGACUAGGUGGUCCUCGGAUCCUUUCCAAUUCUAUGAUUCUAUGAUUGCUUUAAAAUAUAGAUGCAUGGAUCAGAUCUGUGUUCUUGUGCACAUGCUGAGCUGAAAGGUCCCUGUCUUCUGUUGCCAUCCUGAGGAUCAUGGAAGUGCUGCUGCAAAUGGCAGCUCAGAGUUCAUGAAUGACACCUUCAGAGCAAUAUAGUAGUGACUCUUGGCUAGAUGUCCAGGAGAGCCUUGCUUUCAUAUUUCUCAAAGUCUGGUUGUAGAGGAUGCACUUUAGUGCUCUGCAUGUGGGAAAAAGCUUUAAAACACUUGAAUUUGUCUCCUGAAGACUACCAGAACUUCAGAAUCUCCUAAAUGUUUAGGCAGGGGCGAACUCCAGUCCCAAAUUACGUAGAAUGAAUGUCAUGACUGCACACAGGGAAGUGUUAUAUGUUUAAAACCAUGUGUGUGUUGUUUAGGGUCCCCCCCCCAACCAGAACCUGGUAGAACUCAGUUCUAACACCCCUUAGGUGGGUUCCAGUACCCCUCAAGUGGGUGCCUUUGCCAUUCCAUGAGAACAAGAGAGGUGUUCAUGGGGAGUUCUUUUUCUAGAAAAAUAGCACUGUUGUUAUUGUUAUCCUUCUGUCUUGAGACAAUGGAGGAAUGUGCUUUUUGGAGGUGAAGUCAAAGUCCUGGAAGUUUACAGCGCCUGCUGUGGCUAUAGAGACUGAUCUGGGAGAGACAUGUUUUGUUGCAGCUGGGGUAGAUGAAGGCAUCCAGUUGUGCUACUGCAGAUGCACCAUGGUAUUUCUCCUCCCAGCAGUCAUUCCUCCUCCGGUCACUGCUGUGGAUACACCUUAUCCCAUCAGGGAGAUGGCUCCAUUAAUCCUUUAUUUCUGGUGUUUUAAUUUUCUUCCAACAGGAGCUUUUUAUGUGGUUAGGGGGCCAUCAUAUAUAUGACCUCUCCCUACUUAUGCCAGGGGUUGCCAAUGUGGUGCCCAUGGGCACACAUGUGCCCAAAGAGGCCUUUCCUGGUGCCCACAGGGGGGGUGUCUUCUCUGCCCCUUGAUGAAAUAAUGUUUGAAACAGUUCUUUCACUUUGCAAAUGUGCCCCUGGGUCCCCAGAGGGUUUUGACCUCAGCUCUAUGCAAUGUUGUCUCUGAAUAAGCAUCCUCCCUGUUUCCUUUCAGCUUGACCUUGGAAGCAGGACGUAUGAGUGUCAGUGCUUGACGUACCUAUCAGAGAAACGAAUUGUGACUGAAAGCUGGCCAGAAAAAGAAAGAAAAGGGAAAGGAAAUAUCUUAUAUAUGCCAGCAACUCCAAAGGCAGAAUGACUGAGAACACAAGAUCAAGACAGAAGAUCAAAAGCCCCUUCUUUCCCUUGAAAUGUUAAGUCUCAGUGCACGAUUUCAGUGACCAUGAAUUGCCGUCAUUAGCACGUUGCUGACAAGAUAUCAGUGCUCUCACAUUUCUUUUAAAAAUCUCAAGCAUUUGACUGAUUGUGGUGCUAAUAAUAGUGUGACACAGUAAUUUUAUUGUCAGGGUUAUUCUCGGACGCGGUGCU
RNAcentral lists this long non-coding RNA (12907 nucleotides) under Podarcis lilfordi (Lilford's wall lizard). The record is from RNAcentral. Lineage: Eukaryota; Metazoa; Chordata; Lepidosauria; Squamata; Lacertidae.